Long non-coding RNA from Acanthochromis polyacanthus (spiny chromis), 2856 nucleotides. RefSeq lists it as uncharacterized. NCBI's taxonomy places the organism in Eukaryota, Metazoa, Chordata, Actinopteri, Pomacentridae. The transcript is spliced from 2 exons. The record is from RefSeq and is a predicted model, not a curated record.
CUUGACGCACAGACGGGAACAGCCUGGAAGUGUGAUUGGGAAAAGAAGUGGCAGCUGAGUGACUGCUACCCAAACAGGAGAGGUAUUUUAAAUUGUUUUGCUUUUUCUACAUGUUCAAACUAUGUCUCCUUCAACCCCCUCUAAGCCCUGGAAGUAAUAUUACAGAGCAAUUUAUCCCCCGCUGCACAACCUCCACCGCCUCAUUCAACUUAAAGGGCGCGUAAUUCAAUCACGAAUCGUGGAUUAUGGAAAAGCUUACAAGCGGUGCCGUGUGUGUCAGAGAAUUGGAGAUUGACAGGAUUGUGGAUUUGUCGCUGUUUGGCGGGACUAAACUCGCGCUGCGCUCCGCUCGCUGAGACGCAGAGGUUGGCGCAGGUGGAGUCAGGACAGGAGGAACACUCAGACUGCAGUAUUCAUGGAGGAGCCGCUACAACAAGUGGGGGUCAUGCACUUUAGAUCCCAAAACACCCACACAGACACAGACAAGCCUUUACCUUCACAUCAGUACAAUUACUCCUACGCCGGAAGGGAGACAACUCAGGAUGUUACAGAUGAACUUACCCUGCAAGACAAAGGCCUGGUGCUCAACCCAGUGAAUGUAGGAGACAGCGACGGGCAUCCUCCAGUUGAGCUCCUGACCUGAUGCACCUUCAUCCAUCUUUGAAGCUGCAGGCUCCUCCACUGUGAAAACUGCUGUUUAGUCUGUGGGUCAUAGCCGUUGACUCAAUGCUAGCCACAAGGGAUGAUGCUCAACAUGAGGGAAGGUUCAUCCUGGACCUGCCAAAGACCCGAGUAGACCUUGACUCCAUGCUACUUCUGCAGGUCCACGGUGAAAUCACAAAUGCACACCUGCAAGUGGAUACAAAAACACAUUUGACACAGCUAAUGAUGGUGAUUUGCAACCUGUCACAGAAUCACUAACCCACCUGCAGCAUGUGCAUGAGUGUGGGCAUUCUUGGGCAACAGGAGUAGAAACUUUCUGAUUACAGCUCUUUUUUUAUGGAAAUAACAAUACAUCAAAUUAGAAUGUAGAACCUGUAAAACAAAAUGAAAGGGUGCCACAGACAAAAAUGAAAUCACACAGAAUUUUCAAGCAAAUGUGCUGCUUCGUGGAGAUUGGUUUAGUUCCAAGGUAUGGCUCAACUUUACUACAUGCUUUGGUUCUCUCGCACCACAGCAUCAUUUUCACAUAGAGCAGGAUGCUGUGGGAAAGCUCUCAAACAUUGCUAACACACUGCCCUCUCAGUACCCAACAGCAGACAUUUAGUGACUACCUUGUGAAAGAACAUAGUGGAGCAUUUAGCAGCUAAAGUUUCAGAUAUUUUCCUCAGAAGCCGGUAGAGACCAAACACAGAGUUAAGGACAAAAGCACAAAUAUUUCGCAUUCACGGCCAGAUUAAUGGUUAAGAUGCUCUUUAUCUGCUAGAUUUAGCUACUCUUCUUAAACAAGUUUGCCAAAUGAAUUUGUCAGUUCUGUGUGCACAAAUUGUUUCCUCUGUCCCCAAGUAGAAAGUAUCACCUUUGCUGCAGACUGAAAUCAAUAGAGCUCCCAAUCAAAUUGUCCUAUUUUCAUUUUUUAUCUUCUCCUACCUUUCUCACAUCCUCUCAUUGGCCUGCUCUCUCUGUCUCAUUCAUUUGGAUAGUGUCAGAUCAGAAACUGUGAGGAAAGGGACUUGCAGAAUUGCCUAGAGUCUAAUCUGCAGUGAAAACAAAAGGCGUACUGCCAAAGCACUUUAUUAUGCUUUGGCAAUAAUGGAGGGUCAUAAAUGGUACCUGCACAGCAAGGCUGAGUAAUUCCUGCAGUGAUUACUGUGGUGUUAUUAUUUAUGACCCCCAAUCAUUUUCAAAUACCUGUGCAAACAGCAGAUAACAGAAAAUAUGUCAAUGACAACACCUGUAUGAUGUGAUCAGCUAUAAUGACAGAAAAAGAGGCUACAGAAAGAUGGCUUUUUAACAUCACUAGUGGGCAGCAUGUUAGCCACGUUUGCUGUAGCUUUAUAUCUCUGACAAACGUUAAAAAACAAUUACUCCACAUAGGAGCUUUUAAAAAAGCUCGCUUUGAGGUGGUCAAAGGUAUUAAAAAGUGCGAAGGAAAAGGUGAAACCCUAAAAAAUGAAAUACUGUUGUCAAUUUUUAAAGUGUGGUCUUACAUUCACACUCAGUGAUGGUCUCUGUCCUUUAAAGCAGCUAGAUCAGCUGCAGAUAAGGAGACAGAGAGAGAGAUUAUGGUGCAUAUAAAAUGUCAGCGAGGGUAAAGAGAUGGGAAACAGAAGUAGUGCAAGCAGCAGCAGAGAGAGAGACUGUGUGAGAGAGGGAACUUCCAGAACAUCAUGAAAUAUGCAAGAUAAUUACUGGUCAAACUUUCUCUAAAUACUGCAUGUGUUGAGUUUUAUAAGAUGCUGGUGUCUGGAAAAUGGGACAGAGAAAAUGGGAGUAAGAGGACGUACGUUUGUGUCGUCUCCAUGUGUGCAUGUGUAUGGGUGAGUGUGAAGCUGAUGACAUUCAGUUGUUGGAUGACAUUUUUGAAAAUACACUUUAGAGGCACACACAAACACAAAGAGCGGCUGCACUUACAGUACAUGUUCUAAGACAUAAAGGCACAAACAGAACAUGAAAACACACUGAGUGGGCAUAUUUGGGGCUAUCUAAGAUCUCAUUUCAGAAGAUGCUCUGCUUAAAAUGGUUCCCCACUUGGGAACUGAAGUGAAGGAAGUGGAAGUGUAGCGUCGAGUCCUGAUUGAUAAACCAUGUAUGUCUGUUUGUGUGAGUGUAUGUGUGUGUGCAUGUGUCUAAAGUGAGAUAGUGGCAAAUGGAAGUUGUAGAGAUCGAGCUGACACUAAAGGACUCUUGACAUGA